Molecule: transfer RNA, 107 nt
Filed under: Lasiosphaeria miniovina
Lineage: Eukaryota; Fungi; Ascomycota; Sordariomycetes; Sordariales; Lasiosphaeriaceae
Rfam family: tRNA
About the family: Transfer RNA (tRNA) molecules are approximately 80 nucleotides in length. Their secondary structure includes four short double-helical elements and three loops (D, anti-codon, and T loops).
Source: Rfam by way of RNAcentral
GGGACCAUGGCGCAGCUAGUUAGCGCGCAGGUCUCAUGUUUCCGCACAUGAUCUGAUUAAACAUCAGAGUUAGCCUUAGGUCGUGAGUUCGAUCCUCACUGGUCCCA